GGUUUAGUGGCGGACGGGUGAGUAGCACGUGAGCAACCUACCUUUCAGAGGGGGAUAACAGUUGGAAACGACUGCUAAUACCGCAUAACGUUGUAAAAGGGCAUCCAUUUACAACCAAAAGAGAAAUCUGCUGAAAGAUGGGCUCGCGGCCGAUUAGAUAGUAGGCGGGGUAACGGCCCACCUAGUCAACGAUCGGUAGCCGGACUGAGAGGUUGAACGGCCACAUUGGGACUGAGACACGGCCCAGACUCCUACGGAAGGCAGCAG
Molecule: ribosomal RNA, 267 nt
Filed under: uncultured bacterium
Lineage: Bacteria
Description: partial 16S ribosomal RNA
Rfam family: Bacterial small subunit ribosomal RNA
Source: RNAcentral